AUGGCCUGGGCCCCUCUGCUCCUCACGCUGCUCACUUACUGUGUUGGUUGGAGUUCCCAGAGUGCGCUGACUCAGACCAGCUCCGUGGCAGUGAAACCGGGGGAGACGGCCGAGCUGCACUGCACACUGCAAGGGGUGGAGUACAUUAGUAACAACAGCCCAUCCUGGUAUCAGCAGAGAUCGGGGACGGCCCCUCGGUUACUGAUCUAUAAAUCAAGGAGCAGAGCCUCCGGGAUCCCCGAGCGCUUCUCUGGGGAGACGAAUGGUAACAGGGCGUCGUUAACCAUCACUGGAGCCCAGGCCGAGGAUAAUGCUGAUUAUUACUGUGCUGUGUGGACUGGGAGUGCUCAUCACAGUGACACAGUCAGAUGA
Molecule: non-coding RNA, 372 nt
Organism: Malaclemys terrapin pileata
Lineage: Eukaryota; Metazoa; Chordata; Testudines; Emydidae
Source: the annotation of a RefSeq genome assembly